CUCAAUAAUGCAAUAAACCUGAAACCUGAAGGGAAUUAGGGAAUGAGAUAGGGGGACAUCUGGAGAAUAGUGUUCCCGCAGAGGGAAGGGAAAUUCAAAAGCCCUGAGGAAGGAGUAGACGUCUUGUGUUUGAGAACCAGAAAGAAGACCAGAGUGACACGGUAGAAAAUGAGUUCCUGUAGUGGCUGGUGUGCUAUGUCUCAUUAAAAUUUCCAAAGUCAGCUCUGGAGUUCAAGCUUUCUCAAAGAUCAAUGCAGACUUCACUUACCAUUGGGUUUUGCUGAUCCAUCCUUCAAGAAGCUAAUUUAAAUUUCUCCCUGCUAGGUAAUAUGAUCUCCAAUGUAUGACCUUCUAAUUCUGUUGAAGAAAAGGAGACUGAAGUUGUAAAAAUAAUUUCAACUCAAACUCCUUGGAUCCAACUCACAUAAUUAAUUUAACAGUAGCUCAAGGUUUCUUUUUUCCUUAAACCACUCUUUCUUUUUCCUAAUUGCCUAAUUUUCUAAUAGGCAUUGGAAUCUUCCAUUUGAGUCCUCUCAGAGCC
This is a long non-coding RNA of Equus quagga, 541 nucleotides long. RefSeq lists it as uncharacterized. NCBI's taxonomy places the organism in Eukaryota, Metazoa, Chordata, Mammalia, Perissodactyla, Equidae. The transcript has 3 exons. The record is from RefSeq and is a predicted model, not a curated record.